CCCUAUGGGGUGCAUAAUAUGGGCUUUCUUUCACAUGAUUCUCUGGCAUUCGGUCGGAGAAGACGAUAUCUUGAGGGCACAUGUGGCUGAUCGACAGCCGGCAAUGUUGUUGAAUGAACGAACUUUCGUCAUUCCGGCGAAAGCCGGAAUCCAGGAAAAAUAAGACUUUCCGGACCCCGGUUUUCACCGGUGUGACGUUAAGCCAAGAACAUUGUCGACGGUUCGGAGAGGCUGUCUCUAUCGGUGAAACGGAAGGACUUGGAGUUUAAAGAGAGAAGGAGAAGAGGGGUAUGAAGCGCAAAGCCACAUAUCGGCUGAUGGUUACCCGCAGAGAGAUGCUGUAUGUUCAGGAUGAAUUUGAUCAUACGUUGAUGCUGGUGGAAUUGGCGGGGGGGC
RNAcentral lists this ribosomal RNA (396 nucleotides) under uncultured prokaryote. RNAcentral describes it as "partial 16S ribosomal RNA". The record is from RNAcentral.